GAAAAUUUGCUCUUUUAGUAUUUCUCCAGCAGGUUCCUUCAAGGAGACCCCC
Oncorhynchus kisutch (coho salmon) is the source of this 52-nucleotide small nuclear RNA. Its record names the gene U7. It matches the Rfam family "U7 small nuclear RNA". From Rfam's summary of the family: Animal histone pre-mRNAs are spliced by a different mechanism than nuclear pre-mRNAs and self-splicing introns. Lineage: Eukaryota; Metazoa; Chordata; Actinopteri; Salmoniformes; Salmonidae. The record is from Ensembl.